UUGAACGCUGGCGGCAGGCCUAACACAUGCAAGUCGAACGGUAACAGGAAGAAGCUUGCUUCUUUGCUGACGAGUGGCGGACGGGUGAGUAAUGUCUGGGAAACUGCCUGAUGGAGGGGGAUAACUACUGGAAACGGUAGCUAAUACCGCAUAACGUCGCAAGACCAAAGAGGGGGACCUUCGGGCCUCUUGCCAUCGGAUGUGCCCAGAUGGGAUUAGCUAGUAGGUGGGGUAACGGCUCACCUAGGCGACGAUCCCUAGCUGGUCUGAGAGGAUGACCAGCCACACUGGAACUGAGACACGGUCCAGACUCCUACGGGAGGCAGCAGUGGGGAAUAUUGCACAAAGGGCGCAAGCCUGAUGCAGCCAUGCCGCGUGUAUGAAGAAGGCCUUCGGGUUGUAAAGUACUUUCAGCGGGGAGGAAGGGAGUAAAGUUAAUACCUUUACUCAUUGACGUUACCCGCAGAAGAAGCACCGGCUAACUCCGUG
Molecule: ribosomal RNA, 489 nt
Filed under: uncultured bacterium
Lineage: Bacteria
Description: partial 16S ribosomal RNA
Rfam family: Bacterial small subunit ribosomal RNA
Source: RNAcentral